AGGGAUCAUUACCGAGUUUACAACUCCCAAACCCCUGUGAACAUACCAAUUGUUGCCUCGGCGGAUCAGCCCGCUCCCGGUAAAACGGGACGGCCCGCCAGAGGACCCCUAAACUCUGUUUCUAUAUGUAACUUCUGAGUAAAACCAUAAAUAAAUCAAAACUUUCAACAACGGAUCUCUUGGUUCUGGCAUCGAUGAAGAACGCAGCAAAAUGCGAUAAGUAAUGUGAAUUGCAGAAUUCAGUGAAUCAUCGAAUCUUUGAACGCACAUUGCGCCCGCCAGUAUUCUGGCGGGCAUGCCUGUUCGAGCGUCAUUUCAACCCUCAAGCCCCCGGGUUUGGUGUUGGGGAUCGGCGAGCCCUUGCGGCAAGCCGGCCCCGAAAUCUAGUGGCGGUCUCGCUGCAGCUUCCAUUGCGUAGUAGUAAAACCCUCGCAACUGGUACGCGGCGCGGCCAAGCCGUUAAACCCCCAACUUCUGAAUGUUGACCUCGGAUCAGGUAGGAAUACCCGCUGAACUUAAGCAUAUCAAA
RNAcentral lists this ribosomal RNA (529 nucleotides) under Nectriaceae sp. osu_besc_24b. Its description in RNAcentral is "eukaryotic LSU rRNA". The stretch from base 160 to 313 matches the Rfam family "5.8S ribosomal RNA". Lineage: Eukaryota; Fungi; Ascomycota; Sordariomycetes; Hypocreales; Nectriaceae. The record is from RNAcentral.